AGCGAACGCUGGCGGCAGGCUUAACACAUGCAAGUCGAACGGGCGUAGCAAUACGUCAGUGGCAGACGGGUGAGUAACACGUGGGAACGUACCCUUUGGUUCGGAACAACACAGGGAAACUUGUGCUAAAUACCGGAUAAGCCCUUACGGGGAAAGAUUUAUCGCCGAAGGAUCGGCCCGCGUCUGAUUAGCUUGUUGGUGAGGUAAUGGCUCACCAAGGCGACGAUCAGUAGCUGGUCUGAGAGGAUGAUCAGCCACACUGGGACUGAGACACGGCCCAGACUCCUACGGGAGGCAGCAGUGGGGAAUAUUGGACAAUGGGCGCAAGCCUGAUCCAGCCAUGCCGCGUGAGUGAUGAAGGCCCUAGGGUUGUAAAGCUCUUUUGGCGGGGAAGAUAAUGACGGUACCCGCAGAAUAAGCCCCGGCUAACUUCGUG
Molecule: ribosomal RNA, 436 nt
Filed under: uncultured bacterium
Lineage: Bacteria
Description: bacterial SSU rRNA
Rfam family: Bacterial small subunit ribosomal RNA
Source: RNAcentral